Physeter macrocephalus (sperm whale) is the source of this 502-nucleotide non-coding RNA. The record is from the annotation of a RefSeq genome assembly. NCBI's taxonomy places the organism in Eukaryota, Metazoa, Chordata, Mammalia, Artiodactyla, Physeteridae.
GAUCUCUUAGUGGGAGGGGCCUGGCCAUCUCUGGGCCCGGAGGAGAAGGUGUCGGCCACACGAGCUGAACCGAAGGCGGGCUGGAGAUAUGCCCUGCUGUCUCCUUGCCCUUCUCCUGGGUACUUUCUUAGGUGUCAGAGCUCAGACCAUCCAUCAAUGGCCACUUAUCAGGGUUCAGCCUGCAGGCAGCCCGCUCUCCCUGGAGUGUACUGUGAAGGGGACAUCAAACCCCAGCCUGUACUGGUACCGGCAGGUGGCCGAAGGGGCCCUCCAGCUGCUCUUCUACUCCAUCAGUGCUGAGCAGAUAAACGCUGAGGAACCCCAGAAAUUUGAAGCCUCCAGGCCCCAGGACGGCCGGUUCAUCCUGAGUUCUAAGAAGCUCCUGCUCAGUAACUCUGGCUUCUACCUCUGUGCCUGGACUCUCACACUGAGCUGGGAGCCCUCAUUCAGCGACUGGGCAGAGGAUGUUUGUCACUGGGUUCCUGACUGUCAGCCGAUGUGA